Molecule: long non-coding RNA, 705 nt
Organism: Neopsephotus bourkii (Bourke's parrot)
Lineage: Eukaryota; Metazoa; Chordata; Aves; Psittaciformes; Psittacidae
Exons: 2
Source: RefSeq, a predicted model, not a curated record
GCGUUGUAUUGAACUGUAAGACUAGGUUGGUAGAAAAAAUUUCUGCCUGUGAAUACAGUAUGCUUUAGUCAGUGUGGCUUGUGUAGUUUUGGGAUCUAUUGGUAAAACUGCAUGUUGGUAAAACAGCUUUGUUAGAAAAAGUUCUGGUGGCUGGCUAUCAGCUACUGCAACAUAAUUUGUCAUCAAUUCAUCAUCAGGAGAUUGGUGUGAUCCUAUGAGCACCAUAUCAUGCCCUGCAUAUGACCAAGAACCACAAGGUAUUGCAGCUUGGAAGCAGAAGGGUUUCUGCAGGUGGGAAAUGUCCAUGGCUCACCAGAGAUUCUAGAUUUCUUUUUGGACAGGUCUGGACUGGACAUGCAACAAGACUUAUGUGCGAGGGGUAAUGUUUGCCUUAGUUACUCCUAAUGGUUUCCUAUGACUGUUCCAGACACUGCUCUGCGCUGCUGUGUGAUGCAACCUCAGCACAAGAGUAAGACCUCAGUUCCUGGAUAUCUGCUUGGAGAUAAGAAGCUCCAGACUGGCCACCCUGCUUCCCAAGGAUAGGAAAUGUGUAGCCUCAGUAUCUGGCCUCGGAGGAAGGACAAUCCAUCCCAGUAUUUUAAUUUCUCUUUCCCUUCCUUUCCAGUUCCUUCUGAUUUCCUCUAGACUCAGUUCUUUCACUUCAUACCUGUACUUCCUUCCUAUUAAAAACCUGUUGAAACCUUG